Molecule: ribosomal RNA, 459 nt
Filed under: uncultured bacterium
Lineage: Bacteria
Description: partial 16S ribosomal RNA
Rfam family: Bacterial small subunit ribosomal RNA
Source: RNAcentral
CCUACGGGUGGCAGCAGUGAGGAAUAUUGGUCAAUGGACGCAAGUCUGAACCAGCCAUGCCGCGUGCAGGAAGACGGCUCUAUGAGUUGUAAACUGCUUUUGUACGAGGGUAAACGCAGAUACGCGUAUCUGUCUGAAAGUCUCGUACGAAUAAGGAUCGGCUAACUCCGUGCCAGCAGCCGCGGUAAUAGGGAGGAUUCAAGCGUUGUCCGGAUUUCUUGGGUUUAAAGGGUGCGUAGGGGGCCGGAUAAGUCAGAGGUCAAAGCCCGGGGCUAAACCCCGUCCCGCCGUUGAAACUGGCAGUCGCGAGUGGGAGAGAAGUAGGCGGAAUGCGCGGGGUAGCGGUGAAAUGCAUAGAUAUCGCGCAGAACACCGAUUGCGAAGGCAGCAUGCCGGCUCCACACUGACGCUGAGGCACGAAAGCGUGGGUAUCGAACAGGAUUAGAGACCCUUGUAGUC